CAGUCGCCGCGGGAAUACAGAGGGUGCGUGCGUUAAUCGGAUUUACUGGGCGUAAAGCGUGCGUAGGCGGCUUUUUAAGUCGGAUGUGAAAUCCCUGAGCUUAACUUAGGAAUUGCAUUCGAUACUGGGAAGCUAGAGUAUGGGAGAGGAUGGUAGAAUUCCAGGUGUAGCGGUGAAAUGCGUAGAGAUCUGGAGGAAUACCGAUGGCGAAGGCAGCCAUCUGGCCUAAUACUGACGCUGAGGUACGAAAGCAUGGGGAGCAAACAGGAUUAGAGACCCGCGUAGUCCCUGUCUCUUAUAA
Molecule: ribosomal RNA, 301 nt
Filed under: uncultured bacterium
Lineage: Bacteria
Description: partial 16S ribosomal RNA
Rfam family: Bacterial small subunit ribosomal RNA
Source: RNAcentral